GUAAACAAAAUAUAUUUUGUGACUAAGAAUUCCAAAGUACAACCAAAACAACGUCCUUAGUAUCUUAAGUUUAAGACAGCACUUUCCGUUGAAACACAACUACCCCAAUGGCAUAGUCUUGUGAUGUGGGACAGCUAACGUGAUGGACGUCUGCGCAGCAGGCCCGAGGUUAGGACGGCCACUCUGUUAGUGCAGGUGAGUGUAGGUGCCUCCUCAGCUACACUAUCUGGAGGAUGUCACCUGAGUGCAACUGGGCAGGCCCUUCCCCAACACAUGAUGUAAGUCAGCCACGCCAAAAAUAAAGGCAACCCAGAAAGUUAAAUUACGGCAGUUAAAGAAAAAUCCAUUCCAACAGUUUUAAAUUUGGCUGUGCAAAACAGGAGCCUUAGGCUACGUAACAAUAUCCACAGUUAAAACUGUAGGUUCGUACUGUGUGUAGUCACUCUGAAAUCAGUCCUCAGGGAUUGAGCAGGCUUUUAAAUCCAAAUUGAAUUUCUGAGUUGGAAAAAGCAGUUUGGGUACUGUGAAGCUUUUUUUUUUUAGGCCCCCGCUAUGAGUAGCUUUCAUUUUCGUUCCACUUUGUGAUCCACUGUUUU
Molecule: long non-coding RNA, 596 nt
Filed under: Homo sapiens (human)
Lineage: Eukaryota; Metazoa; Chordata; Mammalia; Primates; Hominidae
Description: HSALNT0043156
Source: RNAcentral